This 528-nucleotide ribosomal RNA is filed under the name Triticum aestivum (bread wheat). RNAcentral describes it as "partial small subunit ribosomal RNA". Lineage: Eukaryota; Viridiplantae; Streptophyta; Magnoliopsida; Poales; Poaceae. The record is from RNAcentral.
AUGUGGAACUUUAUUGUUGUCGGGGCCUCAACAGCUUCAGCGCAUCCUUCAGUGCCAAGAUGGAUGUCCUCGCUCUCCUCUCUGUCGCACCUUGUGAUCUCCUUGUACACACUGGGGGAGGAAGACCUUCAUGUCCUAGGUUGCAUACCAUCCCUCCGUCAUCUCGACAUGAGUGUGUUCGGAGCCACACGUCGGCAGAGACAAGGAUGGCCCGUCAUCGAUGCUGUUAGCUACCCAUUCAGGUGUCUAACAGAGUUGAGAUAUGCUCACAAUGCGGAGGUGGUUUUUGCAUCUGGAGCCAUGCCGAAGCUCCGGAUCCUGGAGCUGCAUAUCGGAGCGCGGGAUACCAUGCAUCAGUCUGGCUAUUUUGACUUGGGCUUGGAGAACCUCUGUUCGCUUCAGCAGGUAAUUAUCAAUCUGGAAUGUUACGAGGCUCAGCCGGAGGAGAUGGAGGCCAGGGAGGCUGCAUUCCGUAAAGCGGUCCAGAUGAAUCCCAACAACCCCACACUCAACUUGAAUAAGUGGUAA